CAAUUUUAUUGCAUUAAAAUUCUAACUGCAUUAUGCAUUAAAUUCUAACUUUCAUGUGUCCACAGGAGGAAGCAAAUUAGUCUGCCUAAAUUGGAUGCUGGAGGAAACCUUUGUUUUUAGAUAUUAUUUGGUGAUGAGAUGAAGGAUAUCAGAGAGGAAAAAGAGGUCUCUGUUCACCAGGCAAAUGAGGAAACUGGGCCAACAGUUCUCCAACUGUACCCUUGCAACUGAGGAUCUAAACGGUAUCAGUCAAUCCUGUCUUAAUUCAAGGCAGUAGACUUAACUGAGCUCUCUUCAGUAUCUUGCCAGAGUCAUCAGGGGGAAGUCUUCAAUCAGAUUUUAUCUGCUGCCCAUGUGGAGGUAGGACAUUAAGCUAAAUGUUUGCCACAUCACACA
This 396-nucleotide long non-coding RNA is filed under the name Cavia porcellus (domestic guinea pig). RNAcentral's name for it is "lncRNA (ENSCPOG00000030238.1)". The record is from RNAcentral. Lineage: Eukaryota; Metazoa; Chordata; Mammalia; Rodentia; Caviidae.